RNAcentral lists this ribosomal RNA (241 nucleotides) under uncultured Actinomycetales bacterium. RNAcentral's name for it is "partial 16S ribosomal RNA". It matches the Rfam family "Bacterial small subunit ribosomal RNA", at positions 89 to 334 of the family's 1533-position model. The record is from RNAcentral. Lineage: Bacteria; Bacillati; Actinomycetota; Actinomycetes; Actinomycetales.
ACUCGAGUGGCGAACGGGUGAGUAACACGUGGGUGAUCUGCCCUGCACUUCGGGAUAAGCUUGGGAAACUGGGUCUAAUACCGGAUAGGAGCCAUCUUUAGUGUGGUGGUUGGAAAGUUUUUCGGUGUAGGAUGAGCUCGCGGCCUAUCAGCUUGUUGGUGGGGUAAUGGCCCACCAAGGCGGCGACGGGUAGCCGGCCUGAGAGGGUGUACGGCCACAUUGGGACUGAGAUACGGCCCAG